This 492-nucleotide ribosomal RNA is filed under the name uncultured bacterium. RNAcentral describes it as "partial 16S ribosomal RNA". It matches the Rfam family "Bacterial small subunit ribosomal RNA", at positions 29 to 507 of the family's 1533-position model. The record is from RNAcentral.
AGUGAACGCUGGCGGUAGGCCUAACACAUGCAAGUCGAACGGCAGCACAGUAAGAGCUUGCUCUUACGGGUGGCGAGUGGCGGAAGGGUGAGGAAUACAUCGGAAUCUACUUUUUCGUGGGGGAUAACGUAGGGAAACUUACGCUAAUACCGCAUACGACCUACGGGUGAAAGCAGGGGAUCUUCGGACCUUGCGCGAUUGAAUGAGCCGCUGUCGGAUUAGCUAGUUGGCGGGGUAAAGGCCAACCAAGGCGCCGAUCCGUAGCUGGUCUGGGUGGAUGAUCGGCCACACGGGAACGUAGACACGGUCCAUACUCCUGCGGGAGGCAGCAGUGUGGAAUAUUGGACAAUGGGCGCAAGCCUGAUCCAGCCAUACCGCGUGUGUGAAGAAGGCCUUCGGGUUGUAAAGCCCUUUUGUUGGUAAAGAAAAGCAGCAGGUUAAUACCCCGCUGUUCUGACGGUACCCAAAGAAUAAGCACCGGCUAACUUCGUG